RNAcentral lists this ribosomal RNA (380 nucleotides) under uncultured eukaryote. RNAcentral's name for it is "partial 18S ribosomal RNA". It matches the Rfam family "Eukaryotic small subunit ribosomal RNA", at positions 592 to 976 of the family's 1831-position model. The record is from RNAcentral.
CAAUAGCGUAUAUUAAAGUUGUUGCAGUUAAAAAGCUCGUAGUUGGAUUUGUGGCGUACGGUGUGUUCCGGGCACUUGUUGUCUGAGUAACCUGCUGUUGCCAUCCUUGGGUGGAACCUGUGUGGCAUUAGGUUGUCGUGCAGGGGAUGCCCAUCAUUUACUGUGAAAAAAUUAGAGUGUUCAAAGCAGGCUUAUGCCGUUGAAUAUAUUAGCAUGGAAUAAUGAGAUAGGACUUUUUUGCUAUUUUGUUGGUUUGCGCAAAGAGGUAAUGAUUAAUAGGGACAGUUGGGGGUAUUCGUAUUCCAUUGUCUGAGGUGAAAUUCUUGGAUUUUUGGAAGACGAACUACUGCGAAAGCAUUUACCAAGGAUGUUUUCAUUAA